This is a long non-coding RNA of Ornithodoros turicata, 476 nucleotides long. RefSeq lists it as uncharacterized. NCBI's taxonomy places the organism in Eukaryota, Metazoa, Arthropoda, Arachnida, Ixodida, Argasidae. The record is from RefSeq and is a predicted model, not a curated record. The transcript has 3 exons.
AGAGUCUGUGCACGGUGCCGCGUGCUCGAGGCCGACAACGGCACAUCUCAAGUCACAUUUCGGCGAUAUUUUUCUGGGAUCAUUUAUGUAAAGGGCUACCCAAUGACGACGCAACAACGAGAUGAAUAGAAGAGACUCAUCUGACCAGACGUGCGUCACGUGCAUAUCCCUGUCCAUGUAAUCCUUCAAGAUUAGGACGCAGAAAGCGUGCCACUUGGCGGUAGCUUUCUAUGUGAGGACAGCUGUUUACUGCCGAAGUGGAAUUUCAUGCUCGCGGUUUCACUAGUGACUCAUUGGUCCGGCACAGUCCUAUACUAUCCUACCUGGACUGCGUGAAACGGAAUGUCUCGACUAAAACCUGUUGCGCGCCGUCAAGUCGGCGCUCCCUGAACCUGGUGCCUUGGGAUGCUGCAAUUUCUGAACUGCACAGAGCUCGUCCCCCGUCAAAUACAUAAAUAAAGCGACCUCCGCAAAAG